Molecule: long non-coding RNA, 8297 nt
Filed under: Panax ginseng (ginseng)
Lineage: Eukaryota; Viridiplantae; Streptophyta; Magnoliopsida; Apiales; Araliaceae
Description: long non-coding RNA (PGIN_LNC001349)
Source: RNAcentral
AACCAGAGGAUAAAAGCGUGACGAGGGAUAGCUUUCCUGUGCCAAACAAGCUUAUGCCAGAAAACAGAAGCAGCUCGGGGGCGGAGACUAUCCCAAGCAGAUUUGAUGGAAAAGGAGCCAGAGGGAGACCCCUUCCAAACAAAAGUGUCAAGAGAAUUCCCAUUGCCCUCUACCUUAACUAUUCUGCCAUGAGCAAGCGGCCCUUUCUUCAAGGCUUCAACGCCCAGAAGUCCCUACCUUUGAUAAGGUAGACCCUAACCCAAUUAGACCAUAUCGAAUGGUCCUUGUCCAAGCAGAUAUGCCAAAGAUGCUUGAGCAUAACUGCUCUCUUCCAUUCCCUUGAUUGGUCUAUCGUAUAAAAGAAAGGAGGCUUUUUUGUAUGUUAACGCCUCGUGCCCAUUGAUCAAAGUCCUAAGCUUGGGAAUUCAUCCCACUUCGUUGUCUUUCUCUUUCUUUAAAGCUAGAAAGAUGCAGUGCUUCACCGAGGGUUUGUCUCACAAGAACUGUUGGGAACAACUUGAAGAUUUAUCGGCCAUUUGAGCGAAAGAUUAAGCAUUGGAUCAAGAGAGUGCAUUAGCCUUGAUAGGCUAAGUCGAAGCGUAUCAAUCUCAAGGUCGGCCUGCAGAUAUCACUUUUAGGUCUCCUUCUUUCCACGCUCCUUGAGAAGUUAUUCUGGUUAGUUAUUCUUUUGUAAUGCAUUGGUGCCUGACCCUUGCAAUCAACUUUCAUAGGUAUACCUUUGACGCAUCUCUAUGUUGGGCUUUGGCACAGAAACGCACAGCGGAAAUUAAAAUUUUAAAGCAAUUUCCGAAACCCUAAAACAGGAUCCAUGCGAAAAUCAAUUAAUUCAGAGGUUUAGAGAUUAUACCAGAUAUAAACAAAAACGAGAAUCUGAAACCGACUGCGCCUCGAAUCUCCAACGCAAUACAAACCGAUUNNNNNNNNNNNNNNNNNNNNNNNNNNNNNNNNNNNNNNNNNNNNNNNNNNNNNNNNNNNNNNNNNNNNNNNNNNNNNNNNNNNNNNNNNNNNNNNNNNNNCUAUAGAGAAUGGAAAAUACAGAUUCUUCCUUUUGGGGAAAGCAGAGAUGGAACGAUUGAUAGAUGGUGUCCGUAGGGGCUAUUCUCUAUGGGCCAAAAAAGUAUGCUUCUUUUCCUUUAGAGGUCAGAGAACAGUAGUCAGGUAACAAAACAUGGCACUAAAUGGAAGCUAGCAUCCUGGAAAGGUUUGAUUCAAAGAGAUGGGUAUCCGUUCCGAAGAGCUUGUUCCCCCUUCCCCUAUGGUCUUGAUCCUUUCCAUAGGUACUGCUCCACGAUACCAGAUGUGAGUGAAAGAAGGGCUUUGCUCUAGGUCUAUCUGCUCCAGAGAAAAGAGAUGUAUGGUAUGCCUCACCCGGUCAAUGAUGAAAGAAAUUCGAAAAAAAGAGAGUCGGAAAUACCCUAUCUGAAGGGUUCUCGGUAAGACCAUACAGAAGUAGCCAAACCAGAGUUCCAUGGGUUGAUCAGUCAUUAGGGAAACCUUCCUCUGCCUUGAGGAAUGGGACCGAAAUUGCAUCAUAUAAGAAAGAGUAGUAGCCGAACCAACUGACAUAGCUAGAUCAUCAUCAAAAGAAGAGGCUUCCUUUCGCUCUCAAGUGCUAGUAUCAAAUCAAGGAGCCUUCAACGGCGAAUCGCGUGCGGAAAUGGAAUUGUUUCAUUUUCAGCAAAAAGAUUGUGUUGGUCUUCAGUCAGCUAUACUAAAUGCAUUGGAUGCCUGAGCAACUGCAUCGAUCCCAUUCCUACUUCUCUUGCGUCCCUCCAUCCCAGAUCUCUAGGAACAGGGCUGACAGCAACACCAUUAAUCGAACGAGUCGGGAUGAGAAUCUCACAUGGUGCCAUUCCUGCGUUCUCUCUGUCCAACUCGUUACGCAAUUGACGUAGUAGACCUCUCGCAUGAUUGUUUCAAUGAUGUAUUCAAUCAAGACAAGAAAGAUACGUCGUAAUAAGAUCAGGUUACAUAAUUGGUCUGUGAAGGAACAUCAAGAAAGAGGAUCAGACUUGAUCAGUUCAGGCUAUGUGAGUCGUCUAUCUUCACAGCUGGAAAUGCGCUCCGAAGGACAUUGCUUUCUCCAUUGAAUCAGUCUAAUGUGGAAAUUUCAAGAUGUGAAAUUCAUUCACAAAUCUUGUGUUCUUCUGUGUAGCGUACGGUGUCUCGUGCCAAGUGAAAGGAAAGCUCCGCUUGCUCCAAACCAUGAGAUCCAAGAGAGUGCCCGGUCAUCAUCAUUCCACUCCCUUCUUGGUCUACUUCGGUUACAACUUUAUCUACGGCGCGAUCAGACCAAGUGCGAGAUUGGAUCGAGAAAACAAGCAGGAAGGUCCGCCCUUGAAGAUAGAUACCGACAGAAUCUCAUAGUUAACAGCUUCUUAAUUGCAUUCGUGCUGUGAAAGUUCGAGAUUGAUGGUGGUGGGGUCAUGGAUCUUUCUCCGAUCUCUACUAAGGCUCUUGCACCAUCUUUUGAGUGGUGGUUGGGUCGAAAUAGGCCCCCCGUACCUAAGGGCGUCUCUUGUUGAAAUUAUGAGACGAGAAAUUAAUAUUACUCUAAAGGGGGAGCUCAAGACCGAUGAAAUCUUUAUAUUUAGUGGCCAUAAGGAUUUCUCCGAGUGGUCACAACUUCGUUCGUGGGUCAGACGGUGGUUGAACUACUGUCGAUGGUACUACUGUACCGCGAUGUCGCCUGAGGUGAAGCUUGACGAGUUCUUCAAAGCUCCUAUCGUAGAGUUACACUGGGCCAUAACUAAUAAAGACCAAGACCUAGGGGGUAUGUGGAAGCUGUAUGACAUUGUAGCUGAGAGGGGUCUAUCUUGGACGGUUCCUAUCCUUCCAGAGAACCAUCAGAUUCUGUCUGGUUACUUGUUGGGUGGGAUUGCAGGUCUAACUCUAACUCCCUUAAUUGUCCGAAGGUUAUUGAAGGCUUUAGGCUGACUGCAUCGGUAAGUCAACUCGGGGAAUCAGCUGUGCCGGUUAUGAGCUACAAUAGUGAGAAAGAAAAAGGGCCCUUCCUUUAGAGAAAGGACUGUUAUCUUUGGUUGGGCUCAAUAAACAAGCCUUAUCCCAAAGGGAUACGGAAAAGAAAUCCAGUAUCAUCCGGUGAGUAAAAACUUUCUAGUUUGUUAAAUAAGGGUUACCCUUAACUCUCACCGAAGAUGCAGUCCACUGUGGAAGCCACCGAAAGCCGAGUUCCAUUGGGAUCUCGAAUAAUCGAGGGACAUACCGUUCCGCUAAUUCCACACACUUACCCCUAAAAUCUAUCAAAAGAUUAACAGGAGAAGUAGAUGGAGAGGGCUAACGUCUUAAAGUAAAAAUGAGUCUGUUUAACCAACAAGAUGAAUUUGCUUAAAGAAAAUAUAAGUAGAAUUUCACCAACUUAUCUGCCUUCUCAUCUCGCAUUCUAAUCAUCCUCCUAUGGAAAGAUGGAAUGCAACGUGGAAGUCCGGUUCUUGUCAAACUGACAGGGAAAGGGAGUAGGGAAAUAGGAAUCAAGGGAAGAGAAGAGAACUAUUUAAUAAAAGUUAAGCUCUUAACUUUGCAUGACGGUCUUCAGUCUAGCAUUCUUGUAGUUCAAGAGUGAAUAAGGAAGUGCAAGGCAGCAAUCAUCUGUAGCGGGCUAGCUCACUGAAUCGAUAUCUGUAUUUGUAUACAUAUAAGAGAUGCUUUUUGCUUUGUCUUUUCAUUUGAAGCCGGAUCUACAAUGUAUUGGUAAGGAUCUCUCCCCUGCCUCUUUGGAGGGCUGACAGUUGCUUGCUUGUCUAGCUCAGCCCCUACUGAGCUUUCCGGUAGGCAUCAGUUUAUUAUCAAUUCCCACUUACUUCUGUAAAAACUUCUUCCCCCUUCAAAUGCAAUUCCAACUCGGCCAGAGAAUCAAAGGGCAGAUGGUAUGUCUUUCUAUCCAUCCUGAUUGUUGGAUUGAAAUAGAAAUCAGACUUUAUGCGAGCAAGGUUCAAAACAAAUUGUAUAAUCCGUCCUUCUAUCAAUCGAGAAAAAACAAAGUCUGCUACUUCCUACAUCUCUCAAUUCAAGGCCUUCUAAAGCUUCACUAUGGAAAGGGGCUGAAUUCCAUCCAUCCUUGGGCUAAAAUGCUGAAGUCAAAAAGAGUUGGUAGGGAAUGGCAGUAGAGAGAGGAAAUCGAAAUCCUAUGUCUGGUCUAGCAUGCACAAUGGCCCAUGAACAUUGGGAGAAGAAAGCCUUUUUGUAGCAGAUCUCAAAAACGAUGAUGGUUGAUGGGCUUUAGAGAAAAUAUCUUAUCCGAUUCCUCCCAGCCUAUUGGAAAAAAUUUAGGCUGUUCCAACCCACAAAGAUUUUGUGAAGAACCAGACACCUGGGCUUGGGCCCAUUCGGCCAAUGGGAUUUAGAAUUCUAAAUCUGCCUACUCAACUUGGGUUUGGAAAGCAAAAACCACACGUCGUCUACAAGACUUCCUUUGCCUUGCUGUCCAAGAUCGGAUUCCAACUAAAAGCCUCCUUUGUCAUAGACAAAUCAUACAAGAAAAUAUAUGCCUUUUUUUGUUAAAAAACCAGGAGGAGACUACUCUUCAUGUGUUAAGAGAUUGUGACCAAGCCAAAGACUUAUUGAACCUAAUGGGUAUACCCGUCACUUUAAAACCAACCUUUCAAAUGCCUCUUGUGGAAUGGCUUCGAUCAAACUGUCUUGCAAAUUGCCUUGCCAACCAACCAGGCCUGAACUGGAAGAUCCUUUUUCCGAUGAUGUGUAAUACAACUUGGUUUGAACCUAACCAGAAAAAUCUUUCUUUGAAUUUUUUUUUAAUCAUUCUAUGUAUUCAUGGAAUAAGUGAUGAUCCAAUGGUUCUUACUCAGAGAAUCUUUUAUUUAGCUUAGGGUUUUUGAUUGAAUAUUCUCGUGAUUCUAGUAUGAAUCUGAGGUUUUUUAAUGGAUUCAUAGGGUAGGGUCUUAACAAGAGAAUUCCGAUCAGAAAAGAAAGAAUAAAAAAAACAUUACACAAAACAAAAUUCCAAAAAGAAAUAGGGAUUGAAAGGAUUCAAGAGGCCUGUAGAGAAAAAACAUUUAUCCAAAAGAUUUAUUCAUUACUACUACAUAAAGCACUACAUUACAUAAACAACCACAUAUGCCUUUACUAGAGCUUUCAAAGCAUUAUGCUAACUACAUAAAUUCUUUUCGAAACAGAAAUAAGUCAAAGGAUAGGCCUUAACAAGUAGAAAGAAGAUAAAGUAACUACUUUUUAAAAUUUCUUCUAGUCUUCCCGGUCACCGAGGGUGACAGCCCGCACAAUGAGUGCUUGCUGCUCCUCCCGCAGCGCUUGCAGCCUCCUCUCCAAAUCCCUUAUGUUCUCUCUGGCAGCGCGAAUGCGUUCUUCUGCCUCUGCUGGAUCUCUUGCUCUAACAUUUCUCAAAAAGAGGUUUAGCGCUCUACGGCGCUCUUGAAUUUCAUUUUUCAGUUGCCCCAUUUCGGCAGCAAUUGCAGAAAGCCUGUUUGUAGCAGCCAUAGCCAUACGUGCUAGUACUCAAUUUCUUUGAUUUGAAUUUGAUGAAGUGAAGACACUUAUCGAGCCUCCAUUUAUAGAGUGGUAGAGGAAUCUCGCCAUGCGUCACGAAUUGGAUGGCAGGCACAAUUCUUACUAGUUCUCCACACUACUUUUCUGUUUUGCAGUUGAAUCAUGCCUAUUUUGUGAAAAACUGGCUGGCUCUGGCUACCUUGCGGAGCAAACAAAAUCCCCCCAAAUCACACUGCCUGUAUGAACAAACAAACUUUGUACAACCAGCUUACGUAGAAAAUCUUCCAUAUUCUAUGCCAAUAGACUCGUGACAUCCAUGUACUGAGUCGUCAAAUGAGCCAAGAAAGCCCAAGCUUAUACGCAUUGGCCCACAGGACAGGGUGCCCCAAUAGGGCCCGAAUGAAAGACCCAAGCCUACAUGAACCAUCAAAGAAAGUCCUACAAAUGAAGACUUGUGCCUGUUUCGAUGAAACCUCGAUGAAAGCCCACAGAAGGGCCCAAGCACAACAAGCCUACCCAUCAUCAAAGCAAGCCCAUGCAAGAAGGACCUCAUUGUCAUGGAAGCCCUUUCCUUACUCCUCAAUAUAGUCUAUGAGAACGUUUGUUUUUCUGACCAACUCUCAUGGCUUUAGGAGGGGGCGGGCCCCUACCCUAUCUGUGCUUUCUCUCUUCUGUUCUCUAUUUUCUAUUAGUUGGAGCUGUCUGCUUUUCCCUCUCCCCAACCGCUGUCAUGUCCCGCUACGCUAGUUCUACUGUGCUAGAAUAGCUAAUAGGCUAGAAUAGCUAAUAGGCUAGCUUCCUUUCUUUGGCGCCCUUUCUUAAGGCAGUUCAGUUGCUUGUCCGAUUCCAUGCUUAUGAUUCAAUUCUUCUUGGAAACCAAGUCAUUAGAAAACACCUGUCUGCGGAUUCGAUUCCUACCCUAUUCUCCAUCCUUCUGACCUGGAAAGCCAUUUCUCUGCCCAGAGAUAAACCACUCCCCUGGCCUCCUGGUCUCGACUAUUCAAAGUUCUGUCCAUUUCACCGAUACGCAGGCCGUACCAUCGAAGAGUGUAAUACUUUGCGUGAUGUCAUCUAUGAUAUGAAUGAUGAAAAGAGUCUCAAUUGGAACGAAGUUAAGGCAUACCUUAAAGCCACCAAUGUCACUGAAGCUACUGGGGAUCUAUACUAAUCCAAUGCCACAACAUCAAGGGGGACAAGUCACCACUCAGGGACCUACACCGGUACAAACUAAUCCAGGACCUUCUGCCAGCGCUAACACCAUCCGAGCUUGCACUGCCGCUCGAAGAGAGAUGCCUGUCCCUCAAGUUCUGUAAUUCGAAGGAGGUUCUGAGAAUUCAAAAGUCCGAAGUCACUUUCUUUGUCCCCAGGAAUCGAAGUUUUUGGGCAGCCAACGCCCAGUGAUUUACGAUUUAUACGUAGUGCUACUUUUUCCUUCCCGUCCAGCGAUGGCUCUUCAACUGAGUCGGACGCGGAAAGCGCUCCACCGGAGUUGGACCUCUUAUUUAAAAAGAUCUGUAAUGGGUCCGCUCAGUUACUCCACGAGUCCCAUAGGCAAUUGCCGCCGGAAUGGGACAUACCGGAUCUUAUUCGCAAUGUGAUAGGAAACGAGGCUCUUGUAAUGCCCGGGGUUCUCAGAGAUACCUACUAUGAUCUAAUUUUACGGGGGUCAACGAGUUGGUUAUUCGAAGACCUUACCGCCUUUCUAGAUUUAGUAAACUAUGUAUCCUGAAUCACGAGUCUUAUUUUCUUUCUUAGUCUUAAUGAAAAAGAAAAAGGUAGCCAACCAGAGGAUAAAAGCGUGACGAGGGAUAGCUUUCCUGUGCCAAACAAGCUUAUGCCAGAAAACAGAAGCAGCCCGGGGGCGGAGACUAUCCCAAGCAGAUUUGAUGGAAAAGGAGCCAGAGGGAGACCCCUUCCAAACAAAAGUGUCAGGAGAAUUCCCAUUGCCCGCUACCUUAACUAUUCUGCCAUGAGCAAGCGGCCCCUUUCUUCAAGGCUUCAACGCCCAGAAGUCCCUACCUUUGAUAAGGUAGACCCUAACCCAAUUAGACCAUAUCGAAUGGUCCUUGUCCAAGCAGAUAUGCCAAAGAUGCUUGAGCAUAGCUGCUCUCUUCCAUUCCCUUGAUUGGUCUAUCGUAUAAAAGAAAGGAGGCUUUUUUGCAUGUUAGCGCCUCGUGCCCAUUGAUCAAAGUCCUAAGCUUGGGAAAUCAUCCCACUUCGCUGUCUUUCUCUUUCUUUGAAGCUAGAAAGAUGCAGUGCUUCACCGAGGGUUUGUCUCACAAGAUCUGUUGGGAACAGCUUGAAGAUUUAUCGGCCAUUUGAGCGAAAGAUUGAGCAUUGGAUCAAGAGAGUGCAUUAGCCUUGAUAGGCUAAGUCGAAGCGUAUCAAUCCCAAGGUCGGCCUACAGAUAUCACUUUUAGGUCUCCUUCUUUCCACGCUCCCUGAGAAGUUAUUCUGGUUGGUUAUUCUUUAGUAAUGCAUUGGUGCCUGACCCUUGCAAUCCACUUUCAUAGGUAUACCUUUGACGCAUCUCUGAACAAGCAAAUCUCAAUGCUUCUACUGCUCCCACCUGCCACCCGGUCGUUCUUAUAGUCUCGGGAAUCGCUUUCAAAGCGGAUUUUUCCUUCCUUUUUGCUUUCCAUUGAGUGUAAAGUUCCGGGUAAUCGCCUGUGCGGGAUUGAUUUAGCUCAGAAGCGCUCUCUCUUUCACAGCCGAGGAGUGAGUACACAUCGAUGAGCUUAAGUAAGCGUUUUUGACUACUACACUUUGUUGAUGCAACGAACUCUUUCUAUUCC